AGUGAACGCUGGCGGUAGGCCUAACACAUGCAAGUCGAACGGCAGCACAGUAAGAGCUUGCUCUUACGGGUGGCGAGUGGCGGACGGGUGAGGAAUACAUCGGAAUCUACUUUUUCGUGGGGGAUAACGUAGGGAAACUUACGCUAAUACCGCAUACGACCUACGGGUGAAAGCAGGGGAUCUUCGUACCUUGCGCGAUUGAAUGAGCCGAUGUCGGAUUAGCUAGUUGGCGGGGUAAAGGCCCACCAAGGCGACGAUCCGUAGCUGGUCUGAGAGGAUGAUCAGCCACACUGGAACUGAGACACGGUCCAGACUCCUACGGGAGGCAGCAGUGGGGAAUAUUGGACAAAGAGCGCAAGCCUGAUCCAGCCAUACCGCGUGGGUGAAGAAGGCCUUCGGGUUGUAAAGCCCUUUUGUUGGGAAAGAAAAGCAGCAGGUUAAUACCCCGCUGUUCUGACGGUACCCAAAGAAUAAGCACCGGCUAACUUCGUG
Molecule: ribosomal RNA, 492 nt
Filed under: uncultured bacterium
Lineage: Bacteria
Description: partial 16S ribosomal RNA
Rfam family: Bacterial small subunit ribosomal RNA
Source: RNAcentral